RNAcentral lists this ribosomal RNA (2922 nucleotides) under Staphylococcus pasteuri. RNAcentral describes it as "23S ribosomal RNA". It matches the Rfam family "Bacterial large subunit ribosomal RNA". The record is from RNAcentral. Lineage: Bacteria; Bacillati; Bacillota; Bacilli; Caryophanales; Staphylococcaceae.
GAUUAAGUUAUUAAGGGCGCACGGUGGAUGCCUUGGCACUAGAAGCCGAAGAAGGACGUUACUAACGACGAUAUGCUUUGGGGAGCUGUAAGUAAGCGUUGAUCCAGAGAUUUCCGAAUGGGGAAACCCAACAUGAGUUAUGUCAUGUUAUCGAUAUGUGAAUACAUAGCAUAUCAGAAGGCAGACCCGGAGAACUGAAACAUCUUAGUACCCGGAGGAAGAGAAAGAAAAAUCGAUUCCCUGAGUAGCGGCGAGCGAAACGGGAAGAGCCCAAACCAACAAGCUUGCUUGUUGGGGUUGUAGGACACUCUAUACGGAGUUACAAAAGUAUAUAUUAGACGAAUCAUCUGGAAAGUUGAAUCAAAGAAGGUAAUAAUCCUGUAGUCGAAAAUAUAUACUCUCUUGAGUGGAUCCUGAGUACGACGGAGCACGUGAAAUUCCGUCGGAAUCUGGGAGGACCAUCUCCUAAGGCUAAAUACUCUCUAGUGACCGAUAGUGAACCAGUACCGUGAGGGAAAGGUGAAAAGUACCCCGGAAGGGGAGUGAAAGAGAACUUGAAACCGUGUGCUUACAAGUAGUCAGAGCCCGUUAAUGGGUGAUGGCGUGCCUUUUGUAGAAUGAACCGGCGAGUUACGAUUUGAUGCAAGGUUAAGCAGUGAAUGUGGAGCCGUAGCGAAAGCGAGUCUGAAUAGGGCGUUGAGUAUUUGGUCGUAGACCCGAAACCAGGUGAUCUACCCUUGGUCAGGUUGAAGUUCAGGUAACACUGAAUGGAGGACCGAACCGACUUACGUUGAAAAGUGAGCGGAUGAACUGAGGGUAGCGGAGAAAUUCCAAUCGAACCUGGAGAUAGCUGGUUCUCUCCGAAAUAGCUUUAGGGCUAGCCUCAAGUGAUGAUUAUUGGAGGUAGAGCACUGUUUGGACGAGGGGCCCUUCUCGGGUUACCGAAUUCAGACAAACUCCGAAUGCCAAUCAAUUUAACUUGGGAGUCAGAACAUGGGUGAUAAGGUCCGUGUUCGAAAGGGAAACAGCCCAGACCACCAGCUAAGGUCCCAAAAUAUAUGUUAAGUGGAAAAGGAUGUGGCGUUGCCCAGACAACUAGGAUGUUGGCUUAGAAGCAGCCAUCAUUUAAAGAGUGCGUAAUAGCUCACUAGUCGAGUGACACUGCGCCGAAAAUGUACCGGGGCUAAACAUAUUACCGAAGCUGUGGAUUGUCCGUAGGACAAUGGUAGGAGAGCGUUCUAAGGGCGUUGAAGCAUGAUCGCAAGGACAUGUGGAGCGCUUAGAAGUGAGAAUGCCGGUGUGAGUAGCGAAAGACGGGUGAGAAUCCCGUCCACCGAUUGACUAAGGUUUCCAGAGGAAGGCUCGUCCGCUCUGGGUUAGUCGGGUCCUAAGCUGAGGCCGACAGGCGUAGGCGAUGGAUAACAGGUUGAUAUUCCUGUACCACCUAGUAUCGUUUUAAUCGAUGGGGGGACGCAGUAGGAUAGGCGAAGCGUGCUAUUGGAUUGCACGUCCAAGCAGUAAGACUGAGUGUUAGGCAAAUCCGGCACUCGUAAGGUCAAGCUGUGAUGGGGAGAGGAAAUUGUUUCCUCGAGUCGUUGAUUUCACACUGCCAAGAAAAGCCUCUAGAUAGAUAACAGGUGCCCGUACCGCAAACCGACACAGGUAGUCAAGAUGAGAAUUCUAAGGUGAGCGAGCGAACUCUCGUUAAGGAACUCGGCAAAAUGACCCCGUAACUUCGGGAGAAGGGGUGCUCUUUAGGGUUAACGCCCAGAAGAGCCGCAGUGAAUAGGCCCAAGCGACUGUUUAUCAAAAACACAGGUCUCUGCUAAACCGUAAGGUGAUGUAUAGGGGCUGACGCCUGCCCGGUGCUGGAAGGUUAAGAGGAGUAGUUAGCUUCUGCGAAGCUACGAAUCGAAGCCCCAGUAAACGGCGGCCGUAACUAUAACGGUCCUAAGGUAGCGAAAUUCCUUGUCGGGUAAGUUCCGACCCGCACGAAAGGCGUAACGAUUUGGGCACUGUCUCAACGAGAGACUCGGUGAAAUCAUAUUACCUGUGAAGAUGCAGGUUACCCGCGACAGGACGGAAAGACCCCGUGGAGCUUUACUGUAGCCUGAUAUUGAAAUUCGGCACAGCUUGUACAGGAUAGGUAGGAGCCUUUGAAACGUGAGCGCUAGCUUACGUGGAGGCAUUGGUGGGAUACUACCCUAGCUGUGUUGGCUUUCUAACCCGCACCACUUAUCGUGGUGGGAGACAGUGUCAGGUGGGCAGUUUGACUGGGGCGGUCGCCUCCUAAAAGGUAACGGAGGCGCUCAAAGGUUCCCUCAGAAUGGUUGGAAAUCAUUCAUAGAGUGUAAAGGCAUAAGGGAGCUUGACUGCGAGACUUACAAGUCGAGCAGGGUCGAAAGACGGACUUAGUGAUCCGGUGGUUCCGCAUGGAAGGGCCAUCGCUCAACGGAUAAAAGCUACCCCGGGGAUAACAGGCUUAUCUCCCCCAAGAGUUCACAUCGACGGGGAGGUUUGGCACCUCGAUGUCGGCUCAUCGCAUCCUGGGGCUGUAGUCGGUCCCAAGGGUUGGGCUGUUCGCCCAUUAAAGCGGUACGCGAGCUGGGUUCAGAACGUCGUGAGACAGUUCGGUCCCUAUCCGUCGUGGGCGUAGGAAAUUUGAGAGGAGCUGUCCUUAGUACGAGAGGACCGGGAUGGACAUACCUCUGGUGUACCAGUUGUCGUGCCAACGGCAUAGCUGGGUAGCUAUGUAUGGACGGGAUAAGUGCUGAAAGCAUCUAAGCAUGAAGCCCCCCUCAAGAUGAGAUUUCCCAACUUCGGUUAUAAGAUCCCUCAAAGAUGAUGAGGUUAAUAGGUUCGAGGUGGAAGCGUGGUGACACGUGGAGCUGACGAAUACUAAUCGAUCGAAGACUUAAUCAA